RNAcentral lists this ribosomal RNA (243 nucleotides) under uncultured Actinomycetales bacterium. RNAcentral's name for it is "partial 16S ribosomal RNA". It matches the Rfam family "Bacterial small subunit ribosomal RNA", at positions 88 to 334 of the family's 1533-position model. Lineage: Bacteria; Bacillati; Actinomycetota; Actinomycetes; Actinomycetales. The record is from RNAcentral.
UACUCGAGUGGCGAACGGGUGAGUAACACGUGGGUGAUCUGCCCUGCACUCUGGGAUAAGCCUGGGAAACUGGGUCUAAUACCGUAUAGGACCAUGCUUUAGUGUGUGUGGUGGAAAGUUUUUUCGGUGUAGGAUGAGCCCGCGGCCUAUCAGCUUGUUGGUGGGGUAAUGGCCUACCAAGGCGGCGACGGGUAGCCGGACUGAGAGGUUGGUCGGCCACAUUGGGACUGAGAUACGGCCCAG